Molecule: ribosomal RNA, 540 nt
Filed under: Mycolicibacterium diernhoferi
Lineage: Bacteria; Bacillati; Actinomycetota; Actinomycetes; Mycobacteriales; Mycobacteriaceae
Description: bacterial SSU rRNA
Rfam family: Bacterial small subunit ribosomal RNA
Source: RNAcentral
GUGCUUAACACAUGCAAGUCGAACGGAAAGGCCCUUCGGGGUACUCGAGUGGCGAACGGGUGAGUAACACGUGGGUGAUCUGCCCCGCACUUUGGGAUAAGCCUGGGAAACUGGGUCUAAUACCGAAUAUGACCGCGCUCUUCAUGGGGUGUGGUGGAAAGCUUUUGCGGUGUGGGAUGAGCCCGCGGCCUAUCAGCUUGUUGGUGGGGUAAUGGCCUACCAAGGCGACGACGGGUAGCCGGCCUGAGAGGGUGACCGGCCACACUGGGACUGAGAUACGGCCCAGACUCCUACGGGAGGCAGCAGUGGGGAAUAUUGCACAAUGGGCGCAAGCCUGAUGCAGCGACGCCGCGUGAGGGAUGACGGCCUUCGGGUUGUAAACCUCUUUCAGCACAGACGAAGCGCAAGUGACGGUAUGUGCAGAAGAAGGACCGGCCAACUACGUGCCAGCAGCCGCGGUAAUACGUAGGGUCCGAGCGUUGUCCGGAAUUACUGGGCGUAAAGAGCUCGUAGGUGGUUUGUCGCGUUGUUCGUGAAAUC